GAGCAUCUCUGGGCCUUGAGCCUGUGGAUACCGUCUUAGCAUGGGCAGUGUCCUUGCAAUGGUGGUGGGUCUCACGUCUAACCCGUAAACAUCUGUGCUCCCAUCUGAUGCUGGUGAGAGGAGCAGCCCUGUGCCAUCCAGGCUUGGAAGACAAGGGCGAAGUGUGUGCACACUCUCUCAGCCUUCUAGGAGCAGCAUUGCCUGCUUCUGAAGGUACCGCUGUUCAGCGAGGAUUGGUACGGUGUGUGAUCCCAGGAGAACUGCGGUGGGCGAGUGGCUGACACCACUGUGCACCAGCAGCCAUUGCUGUGGUGGUGGAAGGCAACUUCCCAAGCUUUUAGAGGAAAAGGGGAUCUCUGAAGAACUGCCUCGGGAGUGCUGACUAAAUAAAAAUUACGCUUUUAAAUCGCCAGUUAGUAAGCUUGCUUUCUGUGGUUCCCUGGAGAUGAUGGAGCUUGUUUCUGCUCUGUCUUUGGUGAAACCUCAUUGAAGAGCACAAAGUGGGGCUCCUGCUAAGACAAAGCAUCUCCCUGGGCUGUUACAAGCAGGCAGGCUGCUGAGAGGAGGUUCUGGCACACGGAGAGCCUGUGCAUCCUCUCGGUGUGGUGGUGGGUGUCAUCCCAGGAGGGCCAGUU
Molecule: long non-coding RNA, 635 nt
Organism: Strigops habroptila (Kakapo)
Lineage: Eukaryota; Metazoa; Chordata; Aves; Psittaciformes; Psittacidae
Exons: 2
Source: RefSeq, a predicted model, not a curated record